Cercocebus atys (sooty mangabey) is the source of this 393-nucleotide long non-coding RNA. RefSeq lists it as uncharacterized. NCBI's taxonomy places the organism in Eukaryota, Metazoa, Chordata, Mammalia, Primates, Cercopithecidae. The record is from RefSeq and is a predicted model, not a curated record. The transcript is spliced from 4 exons.
UUGUAACCUUUUUCUUUAUUCCACAUUUUAUCCAGACCUCAAUGUAUGAAACAGAUGAAAGCAGGGCAUGCAGACUAACAAGCAUGGGCUGAUUGAGGUCAGAUACAGUAAUAUCAUAUUGCUAUAAAACGCAAGAUUAAUGAGGGAAAAGUCAACGUGGAAGCACCGCCAGAUCCUGAGGAAAUGGCAAAGCAACAUAUUUUAGCUGCUCAUAUAAAGAGUCAUCAACCUAGACUGUCAGAGCCGGAAAGACCCUUCAAGAUCGUCUACACAUGAUAGUUUUCAAACGGCAGCUGGGUCCCAUUAGCGCUGCAGUUAUGAAAUCAGAUACUCAAAUCCAUAAAGUCCUGUUUGUUUUUCACACCUCUUUCCAUGGAGGUACUUCCAGCAUCA